This 1600-nucleotide ribosomal RNA is filed under the name Salmonella enterica. RNAcentral describes it as "partial 23S ribosomal RNA". It matches the Rfam family "Bacterial large subunit ribosomal RNA", at positions 1359 to 2925 of the family's 2925-position model. Lineage: Bacteria; Pseudomonadati; Pseudomonadota; Gammaproteobacteria; Enterobacterales; Enterobacteriaceae. The record is from RNAcentral.
CCAACGUUAAUCGGGGCAGGGUGAGUCGACCCCUAAGGCGAGGCCGAAAGGCGUAGUCGAUGGGAAACGGGUUAAUAUUCCCGUACUUGGUGUUACUGCGAAGGGGGGACGGAGAAGGCUAUGUUGGCCGGGCGACGGUUGUCCCGGUUUAAGCGUGUAGGUGUGUGUUCCAGGUAAAUCCGGUUCACUUUAACACUGAGGCGUGACGACGAGGCACUACGGUGCUGAAGCAACAAAUGCCCUGCUUCCAGGAAAAGCCUCUAAGCAUCAGGUAACAUCAAAUCGUACCCCAAACCGACACAGGUGGUCAGGUAGAGAAUACCAAGGCGCUUGAGAGAACUCGGGUGAAGGAACUAGGCAAAAUGGUGCCGUAACUUCGGGAGAAGGCACGCUGACACGUAGGUGAAGUGAUUUACUCAUGGAGCUGAAGUCAGUCGAAGAUACCAGCUGGCUGCAACUGUUUAUUAAAAACACAGCACUGUGCAAACACGAAAGUGGACGUAUACGGUGUGACGCCUGCCCGGUGCCGGAAGGUUAAUUGAUGGGGUCAGCGCAAGCGAAGCUCCUGAUCGAAGCCCCGGUAAACGGCGGCCGUAACUAUAACGGUCCUAAGGUAGCGAAAUUCCUUGUCGGGUAAGUUCCGACCUGCACGAAUGGCGUAAUGAUGGCCAGGCUGUCUCCACCCGAGACUCAGUGAAAUUGAACUCGCUGUGAAGAUGCAGUGUACCCGCGGCAAGACGGAAAGACCCCGUGAACCUUUACUAUAGCUUGACACUGAACAUUGAGCCUUGAUGUGUAGGAUAGGUGGGAGGCUUUGAAGUGUGGACGCCAGUCUGCAUGGAGCCGACCUUGAAAUACCACCCUUUAAUGUUUGAUGUUCUAACGUGGACCCGUUACCCGGGUUGCGGACAGUGUCUGGUGGGUAGUUUGACUGGGGCGGUCUCCUCCUAAAGAGUAACGGAGGAGCACGAAGGUUGGCUAAUCCUGGUCGGACAUCAGGAGGUUAGUGCAAUGGCAUAAGCCAGCUUGACUGCGAGCGUGACGGCGCGAGCAGGUGCGAAAGCAGGUCAUAGUGAUCCGGUGGUUCUGAAUGGAAGGGCCAUCGCUCAACGGAUAAAAGGUACUCCGGGGAUAACAGGCUGAUACCGCCCAAGAGUUCAUAUCGACGGCGGUGUUUGGCACCUCGAUGUCGGCUCAUCACAUCCUGGGGCUGAAGUAGGUCCCAAGGGUAUGGCUGUUCGCCAUUUAAAGUGGUACGCGAGCUGGGUUUAGAACGUCGUGAGACAGUUCGGUCCCUAUCUGCCGUGGGCGCUGGAGAACUGAGGGGGGCUGCUCCUAGUACGAGAGGACCGGAGUGGACGCAUCACUGGUGUUCGGGUUGUCAUGCCAAUGGCACUGCCCGGUAGCUAAAUGCGGAAGAGAUAAGUGCUGAAAGCAUCUAAGCACGAAACUUGCCCCGAGAUGAGUUCUCCCUGAGACUUAAAGUCUCCUGAAGGAACGUUGAAGACGACGACGUUGAUAGGCCGGGUGUGUAAGCGCAGCGAUGCGUUGAGCUAACCGGUACUAAUGAACCGUGAGGCUUAACCUUACAACGCCGAAG